RNAcentral lists this ribosomal RNA (497 nucleotides) under uncultured bacterium. RNAcentral's name for it is "partial 16S ribosomal RNA". It matches the Rfam family "Bacterial small subunit ribosomal RNA", at positions 28 to 507 of the family's 1533-position model. The record is from RNAcentral.
GAUGAACGCUGGCGGCGUGCCUAAUACAUGCAAGUCGAGCGAACAGACGAGGAGCUUGCUCCUCUGACGUUAGCGGCGGACGGGUGAGUAACACGUGGAUAACCUACCUAUAAGACUGGGAUAACUUCGGGAAACCGGAGCUAAUACCGGAUAAUAUAUUGAACCGCAUGGUUCAAUAGUGAAAGACGGUUUUGCUGUCACUUAUAGAUGGAUCCGCGCCGCAUUAGCUAGUUGGUAAGGUAACGGCUUACCAAGGCAACGAUGCGUAGCCGACCUGAGAGGGUGAUCGGCCACACUGGAACUGAGACACGGUCCAGGCUCCUACGGGGGGCAGCAGUAGGGAAUCUUCCGCAAUGGGCGAAAGCCUGACGGAGCAACGCCGCGUGAGUGAUGAAGGUCUUCGGAUCGUAAAACUCUGUUAUUAGGGAAGAACAAAUGUGUAAGUAACUAUGCACGUCUUGACGGUACCUAAUCAGAAAGCCCCGGCUAACUACGUG